This 207-nucleotide unclassified non-coding RNA is filed under the name Hevea brasiliensis (rubber tree). The record is from RNAcentral. Lineage: Eukaryota; Viridiplantae; Streptophyta; Magnoliopsida; Malpighiales; Euphorbiaceae.
UUUCAAGGUGCAGAAGCAUCUCAACAACCCUGCUCAUGGUAGGUCUGGCAUCUUUGUCUUCCUCCACACAUUGCAGGGCUAAUGAAAUCAGAGCUUCCAUUUUAGCUUGGUCAUAUUUACCUUCCAACGUAGGGUCUAUGAUCUCUUCAAUCCACGAUGUCACUCCAUUAGCUUUGUUCUUCUUGUCCCUCACCAGUGUCACCAAUC